UUUCUAUGGAAGCUUGCUUCCACUGAGAAGAUAGUGGCGAACGGGUGAGUAACACGUGGGUAACCUGCCCAUAAGAGGGGGGAUAACAUCCGGAAACGGGUGCUAAUACCGCAUAGUUUUCUUGAUCGCAUGAUCGGGAAGGAAAGACGGCCUUUGUGCUGUCGCUUAUGGAUGGACCCGCGGCGUAUUAGUUAGUUGGUGAGGUAACGGCUCACCAAGACGAUGAUACGUAGCCGACCUGAGAGGGUGAUCGGCACAUUGGGACUGAGACACGGCCCAAACUCCUACGGGAGGCAGCAGUAGGGAAUCUUCCGCAAUGGACGAAAGUCUGACGGAGCAACGCCGCGUGAGUGAAGAAAGGUUUUCGGAUCGUAAAACUCUGUUGUCAGAGAAGAACAAGUUGGAGAGUAACUGCUCCAGCCUUGACGGUAUCUGACCAGAAAGCCACGGCUAACUACGUGCCAGCCGCUGC
RNAcentral lists this ribosomal RNA (472 nucleotides) under uncultured bacterium. RNAcentral's name for it is "bacterial SSU rRNA". It matches the Rfam family "Bacterial small subunit ribosomal RNA", at positions 67 to 518 of the family's 1533-position model. The record is from RNAcentral.